CUUUUUAUCCAUAGCAUCUAGCACAAUAUAUGGUAACAUUUACAGAAUUCUCGUCUGAAUAGAUUGAGAAAUACAUAUGGGGGGAGGAUUGGUGAGGGGAGUAUUCUAAUGUUAUCUGCAGUCAGCCAACAGAAUAACUUUUUCCCCCAGCCUUAGUGACAUAAAAAGUUGGGGGCAAAGAGCAAGAGGGAGAUGAGAUGUCCACACAGAAAUGACCAGGGUGAGGUUGUCCUGCCCCAGUGGACCUGCCCCUAAAUGAACUCAGGAGAGAUGCUUGCUUUUGGACCCACCCAUCCUCUCUGUGGUCUGCCAGUACUGUUGGGGUUUUGUUGUCUUGAACAUUAUGAAUAUUAAUAUAAUGGGUUCUUUUUUCCAAGUAUGUCAUGAUUCCAAGCUGUCCUUUUAGCUCCUAUUCAUAGCAAAGGUCUUGAAUCACUCCAGGGGAGGGAGCUUCCUGGCUUCUGAUCUUUCUUUCCACUGCUCUUAAAUUGCCUCUACCAAGCACUUUGCUAGGCUUAGACAAAAACCUGUUCCUCUGCUGUGGAGUUCCACUCCCUCUUCUGAUUUCCUGCUACUCUGAUACUACAGGUUCUUCUGUUAGAAAGUAUGCAUUUCACUGUAGCAGGAAAUACUAAAUUAGUUUUAUUAUCUGACCAACUUUUAGCCUUUUUGGAAACACCCAUUACCACAGCCUGAUAAUUUAGCAAGAAGUUUGAUUCAUAAUUGCAGUCUCUCUUCCCUCCUGCAUACUUACUUCAAGAUUGCGGCAAAGGGCUGGCCAUUGGGGCACCUCUACCCUUCCUCGCCAUUUAAGAGUUGGCCAUUAUGAUGCAGCUGCCUUUCUCUGUGUCCACAUAAGUCACCACACAUCACCCUUAACCAGUAAGUUCAGUUGCUAUUCCUUCUAACUGGCCACUUACUCCCAGAUACUGCCAAGGUGUCAUCCUUUAGCUGUUUUGUUUGGGUUUUUUUUUUUUAACCCCUUUAAGGCCACUCACUGUUCUUAAGGUUCUUCCCUCUUCCCUGAGCUUCUGAGGUGUCCUGCCCACAGCCCUCCAAAUGACUUAUGUCUCCAAUCCCAGAUGUUCUGUCCUUCUUGAAUCCUGGGUCUAUAUUACCACUUAGAUGUGUCUAUGUACUGGGGCUGGAGGAGUUCUCAAGAGGUGGAGCACCUGCCUUGAGUUCAAAUCUUUCAAUGAAAGAUGUCCUAAUGGGAGCUCUGCAAUCACCUCCUUCCAUAUACAGGAUCCUCCCAUAUCCAUUCAGCCUCCCAGGCACAACACCAAGUCACUCUGAGCCAAUCCUCCACAGGCUCCAUUUGUGCUUGAAUCAUUUCUGUACGGCUAGGUCUCAGCUGUACCUCGCCAGGACUCACAGUCAUCUUCUGACGGGCAGGCAGCAGUGGGGAGAUAGCUCGCAGGCGGGCCGCCAUCAUCAAGUAUCUCACAGCAUCUGUGGUCCACUCCCUGGGUGCCCCAGGCCCUGGACAUCGCGCGGGUUGUGAGAUUGGGGUAUGGCGCCCUUUCUACUCUGUCUCAUCAUGGCACCCCUGAGCUCUAGGCUUGGGUCCUCUACCAAACCUGCAUCUGAACUUCUACCGCCCAUCUGAUGGCCUCCUUCCCCCUUCUGGUUCGGCGCUGCUGCCUUCCCAAAUUUGGUUCCUCAUUGAAUGCCUUGCCUGG
Molecule: long non-coding RNA, 1682 nt
Organism: Perognathus longimembris pacificus (Pacific pocket mouse)
Lineage: Eukaryota; Metazoa; Chordata; Mammalia; Rodentia; Heteromyidae
Exons: 3
Source: RefSeq, a predicted model, not a curated record